UACAGACAUUUCUCCCACAGAUGGCAC
This 27-nucleotide non-coding RNA is filed under the name Homo sapiens (human). The record is from RNAcentral. Lineage: Eukaryota; Metazoa; Chordata; Mammalia; Primates; Hominidae.